RNAcentral lists this unclassified non-coding RNA (295 nucleotides) under Hevea brasiliensis (rubber tree). The record is from RNAcentral. Lineage: Eukaryota; Viridiplantae; Streptophyta; Magnoliopsida; Malpighiales; Euphorbiaceae.
AUCAAAUGGGAACUUAUUAAUACCAUAUCUCCCAAUGAGAAUUAAGCAACAACUAAACCACCCACAUCCCAUCUCUUAAUUAUACUUUGAUUUAUCUUUUCCCUCGUCAUCCAUGGCAGCAGACCAGAGGCCAUUUGCUCGCUUUCGACUUCCUUGGCUAACAGCACCCAUUGCUCGCCCUGCUGCUGAACCCCAACCCACUCGUCCUCCAGUUGAAAUAAUUCAAGCCCCUACCCAGCCAACCACCACCGUACCUGCUCAGCGUCCACCAUUUCGACCUGCAGGGAUAGCCCCA